Molecule: ribosomal RNA, 253 nt
Filed under: uncultured bacterium
Lineage: Bacteria
Description: partial 16S ribosomal RNA
Rfam family: Bacterial small subunit ribosomal RNA
Source: RNAcentral
UACGUAGGGGGCUAGCGUUGUCCGGAUUUAUUGGGCGUAAAGGGCGCGUAGGCGGCUUGGCAAGUGGAAGGUGAAAUCCCUCGGCUUAACCGAGGAACUGCCCUCCAAACUGCUUCGCUUGAGACCGGGAGAGGUGAGUGGAAUUCCCAGUGUAGCGGUGAAAUGCGUAGAUAUUGGGAGGAACACCAGUGGCGAAGGCGGCUCACUGGACCGGUACUGACGCUGAUGCGCGAAAGCGUGGGGAGCAAACGGG